This 253-nucleotide ribosomal RNA is filed under the name uncultured bacterium. Its description in RNAcentral is "partial 16S ribosomal RNA". It matches the Rfam family "Bacterial small subunit ribosomal RNA", at positions 524 to 776 of the family's 1533-position model. The record is from RNAcentral.
UACGUAGGGUGCAAGCGUUGUCCGGAAUUAUUGGGCGUAAAGAGCUCGUAGGCGGUUUGUCGCGUCUGCUGUGAAAACCCGAGGCUCAACCUCGGGCCUGCAGUGGGUACGGGCAGACUAGAGUGCGGUAGGGGAGAUUGGAAUUCCUGGUGUAGCGGUGGAAUGCGCAGAUAUCAGGAGGAACACCAGUGGCGAAGGCGACUCUCUGGGCUGUAACUGACGCUGAGGCGCGAAAGCGUGGGGAGCAAACAGG